AACCGGGCGAAGUCGGCCGUCGUGAGGGGUGUUUGGACAGGUUGUCGGGAGAAUUCUCUCGUUGACUGGCCGUGCGGGUCCGUCAGGACAGAGGUCGGAGGCGGAGCAGCGCCCGGGAGGGCAGGCGGUUGGGGCCGGGGGCGGGGCGGGAGGUGGGAGGGGCAGGGAGCCGGGCCGGCGGCGCUGUCACUUCAGCACCAGGAAGUAGGUGGUCCAACCGGCCAGCAGCAGCGCCCCGAUGAGCACCGUGUAGCUGAGGAGCACGAAAGCCAGCAGCUCUCGCAGUAGCUGCAGCACGUGGAUGGUGGACGAGGUCGGCAUCGCCCUACACGGGAGGCCCGAGGACCUGCGGAGUGGGGGCACGCAGGAGACCCUGAGCACGCCAAGAGGACGGUUCUCUCUCUAGACCAACCUCUGCUGGACACUAAGCAAGCGCUACCGAGUCCGGCACCGUUAGAGGCAGUGUGGACACGGGGCUAGACUAGGACCUCUAAAAAGUAAACACACCUUCCUAAGGCUAAGGAAGCCCAAAGUGCUGAUUUUCUCCCUAACAACCACGUGGACACUGUCUGUAUUUACAUUAUGUAGUUCUUUUAAACGGAACGUUCUCCUCAUUCUUUGGCUCCUGAUCUGGAUUUGAGCUCAGAGGAGGGAAGCCUGGAGAGGAGAGUUCCCAGUUCCCGCUGCUGCACUGGUCUUCAUCUCCAACCCUCUCCUCCCGUCCACCUCCUGCAUUUUUAAUGUUGCGAGUGUUGCUAAUGGGCUGAUGGAGUAAAGCUUGCUUUUUGCCAUCAUUCAAGCUGCAGUCCCAGCUGUCAGCGCUGCUUGGGAGAGGAAGAGAGAUCCUUUUGAGUAGGGGGAAAGCAGCGGGCCCUCGCUGCAGCCCUUCUGCAAUUUCUGUGGCCCCAAGGCUUAUCAGUUUUCAAGAGGACCGCUGCUUUGUGGCUAGGCGUGCUUGCCCUUCUGGCCAGCCAGGAUCGCAGGAGUGCCAAGAGGAGCUGACCUAACUAUGCUCAGAGCAAGAGAGUGGAGAGUCAUGAGUGAAUGCAGACACAUGAGACACAACUGAGCAUCUGUUCACAGGACAAAACCCCAGGCAAGGGGACUUGACUGGACUUGAAUUGAAUCCCAGGAGCCAAAAACACUGAUGGACAAGAUGCUGGGACGGAGCAGGAGGGAGAUUUCCAACUUCACUGCCAGCACCUUCUCACCUCCCUUCCACAGCCUAGCAGUCUCCUGGGAACGGUAGCAGCUGGAUGCCUGGAUCACCAACAAGCUGUACCGGAGGGGGGAUGACAUCACCAGACCAGGGAGCUGGGUGUUUCCUAGCAAAACAAACACUGGAGACCAUGUAAGGAGUGGCUGUAGACUGCUGGGGCAGCAGGUGUGGCACUUACCUGCGAGGGGGAGCUGCCAGAUGCUGAAGAAGCAAAGCUGUCAUUGCUCAAGGUGGGGGGGGGGGCGCGGGGAACCAGCUGGAUGGUGGGGCUCAGGAUGAGCAGGGAAGAAAACUGAAGGCAUCUACCACUGAAAUUUCUUAAGAGUUAAUAACACGUGCACUAAGAAUGCAUCUUCAAAUACAUUCUCAGAAAGAUGAGUCUUCCUCAAUGCAAAAAGCCCUUGAUAAGUCAGGGACCCACAACAAUUAAGCUGAUCACAGAGAGCAUAAACUCUGUCCUGGGGCAAGAAGCUCUUCCAAACCUUUGCUUUUUUAGAAGCAGAGGAAUCAAAAACAGAGGAACCAAAACUUGCCCUGACGACCGGGUAACAUAGAGACUGGUGACACUGGAUGUAAGGUGCCAUGUUCUACAGGAAAAAACAAUCUCAAACUCAGGGAUUUGAGAUACCAGCCUCAGGCCCCUAACACUGGGCCACUGCCCUAGGCAUGAUGCACCUCCAAGAAAUUCA
Long non-coding RNA from Cervus elaphus (red deer), 1908 nucleotides. RefSeq lists it as uncharacterized. The record is from RefSeq and is a predicted model, not a curated record. The transcript is spliced from 3 exons. Lineage: Eukaryota; Metazoa; Chordata; Mammalia; Artiodactyla; Cervidae.